Molecule: ribosomal RNA, 470 nt
Filed under: uncultured bacterium
Lineage: Bacteria
Description: bacterial SSU rRNA
Rfam family: Bacterial small subunit ribosomal RNA
Source: RNAcentral
GAUGAACGCUGGCGGCAUGCCUAACACAUGCAAGUCGAACGGACCUUUAUUUUUGAGAGUUCCUUUAUAGAAAUUCUCAAAAAUACUGGUUAGUGGCGGACGGGUGAGUAACACGUUGGUACCUACCCUCUAGUGGGGAAUAACUUCGAGAAAUCGAGGCUAAUACCGCAUGUGGUCUACGGAUCAAAGCAGUAAUGCGCUAGAGGAGGGGCCUGCGUCUGAUUAGCUUGUUGGUGAGGUAAAAGCUCACCAAGGCGACGAUCAGUAGCUGGAUCGAGAGGUUGACCAGCCACACUGGGACUGAGAUACGGCCCAGACUCCUACGGGAGGCAGCAGUGAGGAAUCUUCCACAAUGGACGAAAGUCUGAUGGAGCAAUGCCGCGUGCAGGAUGACGGCCUUCGGGUUGUAACUGCUUUAUAUGGAGAUAUGACGGUACCGAUAUGAAUAGACGGCGUAACUACGUGCCAGC